This is a long non-coding RNA of Bos taurus (domestic cattle), 3548 nucleotides long. The record is from Ensembl. NCBI's taxonomy places the organism in Eukaryota, Metazoa, Chordata, Mammalia, Artiodactyla, Bovidae.
ACUCAGUGAUAACAGAUUUUUUUCCACCAACUGCAGGAGAUAGUGCUAAUCUUUUAAUAAAAGAUCCCAUUACAAUGGGAUCUGUCUGGACAGACUAUAAUAGAUCCCGAAAUACAGCCGUGCUAAUAUUAGAAGACAGUUGUUUGGGUGCCUCUCAGACGGGCCCAAGCCCCCCUUUGAAAGUGGGCAUGAAUCACAAAGCCCGCGGCCGCCGCACCUGCACCGCGCGCAUUCGGUGCAGCAGGCUGCCUCUGGAAGCUGAAAUUUUUCACUUUUGGGCCAUGCAAACCAUUUAAAUUCCCUCCUGCUUGUGAAGUCAUCUUGCCUAGAGCUGCACCUUGGAUAGUAUUGAUCUGUUUGGGAGAAUGUCUGCCCCGAAUCGGCACAGAUCAGUCAUCAAGAUUCUUGUUGGCCUGGCGUAAUUUUCUAGCCAAUUGUAGAAAAUGAGACACAGGUCAAUAUGGUCUCAUCUGGGCCUCCUGUGAGCAUCAGCAAAAGAGUCAUCCAAUUUCUGGGGUAUGAAACGGUAUCACACCUGUUUGGUGACAUCACAGAAAAACAGCUAUUUCUUUUACUGUUUUAUCUCCUAUAAAUGUUACAUUUUGGGUUUGUAGAUGUCUAAAUGUCAAGGGGACAUUUUAAAAUAAAAGUGCCUUCUUUCAUUUGUGUUGUAUGCUUCCAAGUUUGACUUCUUAUUUUUUUCCCUUUCUGCUCUGCCAAAAAAGUAAAUGUAAAUUAUGAGAAAUACAAUAGGACCACUUUGUAACUGACUUUCUGGGCAGUGCACAAAAAGACUGCUGUUCUCCGAUUGUUUUUUGUCAGCUUCAAAAGCUAUCUUCCUUCUGAAGUUUAUAAAUUUAAAAUAUUCGAGUUUAGCAAAUAAUUCAAUCUAGCUCCUAAGAUACCUAUUUUAAAUCCUAUGAAAUGGUUGUUUGAACCAGAACUGACCUGGUUAAAUUUUAGUCCCUAAAAAGGGAAUAUGGAAGGGGUAUGUGAGGUUACAUAGGGAAAAUUUGGAAGUCAUGGAGUAGCUUUUGCUCUUUGCCUUAAAAUUAAACGUCGCACUUUUUUGAAGUUAGGUAUUUUCCCAAAUGAGAUUAAGAUUUCAGAUGCAAAUAAUCAAUCUUGAUUAAACAGGAGAAUUUAAGCACUUGAGAAAUAGACUGAAGUGAUAUUAAAAUCAGAUUUUAUUCUUCUGGGUACAAAACUGGUUACUUAAUGCGUCAUAGUCUUUGGUGUUGUGUAACAUCAUAGGCUAGAUGAGGAUUGGGGGUAGUGGUAAUAGUUCUGUAUUGGCUGAAUUGUUGCAGAACUAAAAAGUUAAGAAAUGUGAGUACAUAAAAGCAAUGUUUAUUCAAGAUGUCCAAACCAUCAGUUAACUUUUUAAAAAUGUCAUUAGAAUAUAUACUUUUAAAAUACGGUAUUGAAAAAACAAACAAUUGUUACCUGAAUUUUUCUCUUUCCAAUGUUGCUUUUAUGUUAUAAAGUCAGCGUUUUAUAACAGCCUUUUCUUUUUGAUAAUACUUGUUUCUAAUAUUUUAUUCCUUAUGCUACUGCUGCUGCUAAGUCCCUUCAGUCGUGUCCGACUCUGUGUGACCCCAUAGACGGCAACCCACCAGGCUCCCCUGUCCCUGGGAUUCUCCAGGUCUAAAGUUCACAACCAGUCCAUCCUAAAGGAAAUAAGUCCUGAAUAUUCAUUGGAAGGACUAAUGUUGAAGCUGAAACUCCUGAUACAAAGAGCUGACCCAUUUGAAAAGACCCUGAUGCUGGGGACGAUUGAAAGCAGGAGGAGAAGGGGACGACAGAGGAUGAGAUGGUUGGAUGGCAUCGCUGACUUGAUGGACAUGAAUUUGAAUGGACUCUGGGAGUUGGUGAUGGACGGGGAGGCCUGGCGUGCUGCAGUCCAAGGAGUAGGACAUGACUGAGAGACUGAACUGAACUGAACUGAAAGUUCACAAGACACUUAGACGUGACUUUAUAUACCCUAUUACAUCCUUUAUAGACUUUUAAUUAAUCAUCUUUCUUUGAAGAAGAAUUCAUUCCAAACCUAUUUUGCACUUUGCCUCUGUAUCUCCUAAGUUUGGAUCUGUCUUUGGGUUUUCUGCUUUGUUCUAUUCCUCUAUUUGUUGAUCCUAUGUUGGUCUCAGAAUCUUGACUACUAUGAGGAAGUCAGGUAAUGUAAUUCCUUCAACUUCUUUCUUUUUCAAGAUUGCAAGUACAUUAUAUACAAUUGAAUAUUGUAGUUGUGUUUUCAUAUAAAUUUUAGAAUACAUUUGUUCAAUUCUAUAUGUACACACAAAAUGUUUGAUGGGAUUAUGAUUGGGAUAGAUCAGUUUAGGGAGAAUUGAAAUAUUAAAGUAACUAUGUGCCACAUAUAGAUAAUUUAAAGAAACACAAAAUAUUUCUGAAAUUGAAGGGGAUUAUAAGGAAUCAAAUAUUAGAAACAAGUAGUAUCAAAAAGAAAGGGCUGUCCAUGAUUGACUGAUCCUUUAACAUAAAAGCAAAAUUGAAAAAAGUCUUCAGGAGAUGGGAAUGGCAACCCACUCCAGUAAUCUUGCCUGGAAAACUCCUUGAACAGAAGAGCCUGGAGGGCUGCAGUCCAUCGGGUUACAUGACAGAGCACACACACGAUGGAGGUGGAGGAAGAUGGGUUGGUAGCAAUAAACAGAGGUAGAACUAAAAGAAAGAAAAGAGUCUUCAAAACCAUGAACAUGGUAUAUCUUUUCCAUUUACUUAAGUUUUAAUUGUUCUCAACUAUGGAUGGCUGGAUGGCAUCACUGACUCAAUGGACGUGAGUCUGAGUGAACUCCAGGAGUUGCUGAUGGACAGGGAGGCCUGACUUGCUGCGAUUCAUGGGGUUGCAAAGAGUCGGACACGAAUGAGCGACUGAACUGAACUGAACUGAACUGAUGGUUUGUAGAUCCAUUUUGUAUUUUAACAGUUAUUGAAAAACCAUGCAGAAAUAGAAUAAUAAAUACAGUUUCCAUCUCUUCACCUCAAAGGAUCUUGAUGAGUUAUAAAGAAUUCCUGGUGCAGGCUUAUACAUGUCUUCAAUACUUUUUAAGGCUGAUUACCUAUGGUCAGUUAAAAAGAAUGUAUUGAACACACUUUCCAGGAGUGGUGUACUAAUUCAUCAAAACCUCUUGCACUCAUUUUUUGGGUGUUCAUUUUAAACCACAGUCACUCCUUUAAAUGAAUAAUUUUUGUCACUGUGAGAUUUAUACCCACUGAAUAUUAAAAAUGAUCUUUUAUUGGUGAGUGUUCUAUUGAAUAUUUCAUACUUUUCAUAUGAAUAGGUUCCUACUCAAAACAAUCCAUCAUUGGGACUUUCCUGGUGGUUCAGUGGUUAAGACUCCAUGGUUCCAAUGCAGGAGGCACAGGUUCAAUUUCUGGUUGGGAAACUGGGAUCCCACAUGCUGUGUAGCCAAAACAAAACAAAACAAAUCAAUCCAUCAUAGUGCUUGAAUUUUGAGUGGUGGAAACAUGCAGUUCCCAUUGUGCCAACAUUUGGGUGACAGUUACUUUCUGCUGUAUUGGAGAGCUACAUC